This 288-nucleotide unclassified non-coding RNA is filed under the name uncultured fungus. Its description in RNAcentral is "partial contains small subunit ribosomal RNA, internal transcribed spacer 1, and 5.8S ribosomal RNA". The stretch from base 1 to 73 matches the Rfam family "Eukaryotic small subunit ribosomal RNA", at positions 1759 to 1831 of the family's 1831-position model. The record is from RNAcentral. Lineage: Eukaryota; Fungi.
GCAAACUUGGUCAUUUAGAGGAAGUAAAAGUCGUAACAAGGUUUCCGUAGGUGAACCUGCGGAAGGAUCAUUACUGUUAAAUGAAUUGGACCAGCGCUUAACUGCGCGGUCUAUAUUCUUUAAACACUUUGUUUUUUUGUUUGGUUUGUCUUAUUCUAAGUCAGCCAAUUGAUAAACCCUAGGCUUCGGCCGAUGUAUUUUUAAUUAUUAUUUGUCAUAAAUUUUAAAAUAAAAUUUAAAACUUUCAGCAACGGAUCUCUUGGUUCUCGCAUCGAUGAAGAACGCAGC